UACAGAGGUGGCAAGCGUUGUUCGGAAUUACCGGGCGUAAAGGGCGCGUAGGCGGCUUGGUCAGUCCCGUGUGAAAUCCCUCGGCUCAACUGAGGAACUGCACGGGAAACUGCCUGGCUUGAGUUCGGGAGAGGGAAGCGGAAUUCCGGGUGUAGCGGUGAAAUGCGUAGAUAUCCGGAGGAACACCGGUGGCGAAGGCGGCUUCCUGGACCGACACUGACGCUGAGGCGCGAAAGCUAGGGGAGCAAACGGG
This 253-nucleotide ribosomal RNA is filed under the name uncultured bacterium. Its description in RNAcentral is "partial 16S ribosomal RNA". It matches the Rfam family "Bacterial small subunit ribosomal RNA", at positions 524 to 776 of the family's 1533-position model. The record is from RNAcentral.